Long non-coding RNA from Spinacia oleracea (spinach), 2253 nucleotides. RefSeq lists it as uncharacterized. The transcript has 5 exons. NCBI's taxonomy places the organism in Eukaryota, Viridiplantae, Streptophyta, Magnoliopsida, Caryophyllales, Amaranthaceae. The record is from RefSeq and is a predicted model, not a curated record.
AAACCUUAGAAUAAAAAACCUCUAGCAAAACCAAAACCUAAACAUUCUACUCUAUCUCCUACAAAACCUUAACCAUAAUCGUGCAAAACAAAAACCCUUCUAACAAAACCCCCAAAUUCAAUCUCCCGCAAAAUCUAGACUAUAAUCGCGCACCACCACCAGAUCACCGCCGCACAAAUGUACCGCCACCGCGCUACUGUUCCGCUGCUUCUUUUCAACCUCUGGUGACCAUCGCCUCUCCACACUCCGAAUUUCGAGGUUAGUAUUCUUAGUUUUGUUCUAAAUCUUUAUCCUGCAACUAAUAAUGUUCUUAAUUACGAAAUUGUAAUGUCGAAUUGAUGUUUUAGGUCGAAUCAUAAAGGAGGGUGUAAUAAUUAAAUCGAAUUACAUUUAAUUUAGUAGGAUUAUUGCAAAAAAAUCUGGUGAAUUUAGUCAAAUUAAACUGAAUUUUUUAGUUAAUAUGAUUUAAGUUUGAUUAAAUUGAAAUUUGCAGUUAGGGAAAGAAAGGGGAUAAUGAAAAAUUGAAUUCUUCAAGGAUCUGGAUUAUCUUUGAAUUUUCUACUUUUAGUACUGAUUUGUUGUCUAUUGAGUGUUAUAUGUAGAUGCAAUGUGUAGUUGUUAGAAUAAGCGCAUGCUGCCUUCACCUUUGCCGAAAAUCGACAGUGUCGUCAGGACAAGCUCCUGAAUAGGCUAAACUGAACAAGUUGUUCUUCAGAUCAUACCCAAUGUGAGCAUUCCUUUGUUGGUGAAAUGCUAAUACGGACACCUUACCCUCACUUUCUUUGAGCCUAUAGCCAGGCAAUAUAACCCUGAGUGCCUUAUCCAUAAAUUUGCAUCAUAUAACAUGUAGACGAGGCCAUUGAAGUGGAACAUCGCCUCUGCAGCUUUGCUGAUGAAUGUAGUUCAUAACACUAAUCACGGUACAUAAUCAGACUAGUCGAGGUGAUAGUUUCUUUCCUUCGGGAAUCCAAAUGUGGUGGACACCCUUAACAUUUACCAGACAUUGAAUAUAAAUAUCAGACCCUUUCUGCCUUAUGGAUAAAAUGCAUUUACCUGACCUCCACUCUUAGAAAAAGUUGUAUAUUUGAUGUUCUCUUGAUGUUUGAGUAGUGAGGGGGCUCAUAAUUGGUUGUUUGGUAAUUGGUAAGAGUUGAGCGCUGUUUUUCCUGCCCAACAGACGACAAUUAAGACUAGCUUAGCACAGCUCUCUGUUUAUUCCUUGUAAAGUUAAGCUCAGUUUUCAGGUAUAAGUCCUACAUAAGGAGUUUUUGUUUACUCCUUGCAACUUAAGUCGAUGAUGGUUAGUUAGGUUUCGAUUAAUAGAACAAAGUUGAACUAAAAAGCAAUAAAAAUAAAAUGUAUCCUCUUCUUAGAUGUUUUCAGAAUAAUUGCUUUCAGUGAAGUGUAUUUAUGGUCAAUUUUCUGUUGCUGUUUUUUUUCUUUUUUCUAUCUUCUUUUGUUUCUAUCAAUAGUUAACUUUCACAUGAUUUCUUUAAUUGGCUGGUGGCACAAAUGCUCACACAAUAAAAGGGUUGAAGGAACACAGACUUUUUCAAACCAUGAGGAACCCGGAUGAUGAGAUCUUGACCUGAGAAAUAUCUAGUUCAUGCAAUUCUCUAAUUGGUGGUAUGGCAUAUGGUGGCUAUGCUAGGAAGGUACAAAGGUGUGAAGACUCUAGACCUCUAAAAAUUGAGUUGAGAGGAAAAUGAACAGUGUGAUUCGGAUGCAUACUGUUUGUGCUAGAGCUUUUGGACCUGCAGAUAGAGGAAGGUUUAAUUACAAGUUCAAUGAAAGAAAUACCGAGAAAAUUAUAGGCAGAAUCAGCCACCUGCAGAUGAAUCUUCACACCUGCAUCAAUAAACCUGCGUAUUUUAUCAAAGCUCCCACGUAUUCUCAAACUACGAUUGACGAGCUAAGGGAGAGGUGGAUCUCAUACGUUAGCGAAUAUCACCGACCAAAUAAUGAUGAAGAGGAAGAUCAUGAUGACGAUGAUCUAUUGUGACUUAAGCUAGCUCAAGGAGAUGGUUAUCUCAGUUCAGUCCUGCAGAUGAACCAAGUCUGGUUUCUGUUGUUGCUGCAGAAGCUGUUGUUGCUACAUAAUCUGUUCUUGCUGCAGAAUCUGUUUUUUUUUUGUAGUGAUAUUGGAUUUUUUUUUUGAUGUACCUUGGAUCAUUUAUAUUUUAUCAAUGAUUAAUAGGAUUGUUAUUGAAUAAACAAUAUUAUUUUGUUAUUUAAUGAAAGGAUUUUUGGACA